GACGUAGGAGGCGAGCGUUAUCCGGAAUCACUGGGCGUAAAGGGCAAGUAGGCGGUUGUUCAAGUUGGGCGUGACAGAUCUCGGCUUAACUGAGAGAGGACGUUCAAUACUGAGCGACUAGAGGGCAGGAGAGGAAAGUGGAACUCCCGAUGUAGCGGUGGAAUGCUCAGAUAUCGGGAAGAACACCGGUGGCGAAGGCGGCUUUCUGGCCUGUACCUGACGCUGAGAGGCGAAAGCUAGGGGAGCGAACGGGCUUAGAUACCCCGGUAGUCCUAGCCGUAAACGUUGGAUACUGGGUAAUGGUGGUCAAGGCCAUCAGUGCCGAAGCAAACGCGUUAAGUAUCCCGCCUGGGGACUACGACCGCAAGGUUAAAACUCAAAGGAAUUGACGGGGACCCGCACAAGCAGCGGAGCGUGUGGUUUAAUUCGAUGCUACACGAAGAACCUUACCUGGGCUUGACAUGCACGUCGUAGGGGACCGAAAGGCGACCGAUCCUUCGGGAAGCGUGCACAGGUGCUGCAUGGCU
This 527-nucleotide ribosomal RNA is filed under the name uncultured bacterium. RNAcentral's name for it is "bacterial SSU rRNA". It matches the Rfam family "Bacterial small subunit ribosomal RNA", at positions 524 to 1050 of the family's 1533-position model. The record is from RNAcentral.